Molecule: ribosomal RNA, 301 nt
Filed under: uncultured bacterium
Lineage: Bacteria
Description: partial 16S ribosomal RNA
Rfam family: Bacterial small subunit ribosomal RNA
Source: RNAcentral
CAGUCGCCGCGGUAAUACAGAGGAUGCAAGCGUUAUCCGGAAUGAUUGGGCGUAAAGCGUCUGUAGGUGGCUUUUCAAGUCCGCCGUCAAAUCCCAGGGCUCAACCCUGGACAGGCGGUGGAAACUACCAAGCUGGAGUACGGUAAGGGCAGAGGGAAUUUCCGGUGGAGCGGUGAAAUGCGUUGAGAUCGGAAAGAACACCUACGGCGAAAGCACUCUGCUGGGCCGACACUGACACUGAGAGACGAAAGCUAGGGGAGCAAAUGGGAUUAGAUACCCGUGUAGUCCCUGUCUCUUAUAC